UACGAAGGGGGCUAGCGUUGUUCGGAAUUACUGGGCGUAAAGCGUGCGCAGGCGGCUUCUCAAGUCAGGGGUGAAAGCCCAGAGCUCAACUCUGGAACUGCCUUUGAGACUGAGAGGCUUGAGUACGGGAGAGGCCGGUGGAAUUCCCGGUGUAGUGGUGAAAUGCGUAGAGAUCGGGAGGAACGCCAGUGGCGAAGGCGGCCGGCUGGGGGUGACCUGACGCUGAGGCGCGAAAGCGUGGGGAGCGAACCGG
RNAcentral lists this ribosomal RNA (253 nucleotides) under uncultured bacterium. Its description in RNAcentral is "partial 16S ribosomal RNA". It matches the Rfam family "Bacterial small subunit ribosomal RNA", at positions 524 to 776 of the family's 1533-position model. The record is from RNAcentral.